AACGAACGCUGGCGGCAGGCUUAAUACAUGCAAGUCGAACGGAUCCUUCGGGAUUUGUGGCAGACGGGUGUGUAACGCGUGGGAACGUACCCUUUGCUACGGAAUACCUCAGGGACACUUGAGCUAAUACCGAAUGUGCCCUACGGGGGAAAGAUUUAUUGGCAAAGGAUCGGCACGCGUUGGAUUAGCUAGUUGGUGGGGUAAUGGCCUACCAAGGCGACGAUCCAUAGCUGGUCUGAGAGGAUGAUCAGCCACACUUGGACUGAGACCCGGCCCAGACUCCUACGGGAGGCAGGAGUGGGGAAUAUUGGACAAUGGGCGCAAGCCUGAUCCAGCCAUGCCGCGUGAGUGAUGAAGGUCUUAGGAUUGUAAAGCGCUUUCAACUGUGAAGAUAAUGACGGUAGCCGGAGAAGAAGCCCCGGCUAACUUCGUG
Molecule: ribosomal RNA, 433 nt
Filed under: uncultured bacterium
Lineage: Bacteria
Description: partial 16S ribosomal RNA
Rfam family: Bacterial small subunit ribosomal RNA
Source: RNAcentral